AUACGGAGGGUGCGAGCGUUAAUCGGAAUUACUGGGCGUAAAGCGCGCGUAGGCGGUUUGUUAAGUCAGAUGUGAAAUCCCUGGGCUCAACCUAGGAACUGCAUUUGAAACUGGAUAUCUAGAGUAUGGUAGAGGUGAGUGGAAUUUCAGGUGUAGCGGUGAAAUGCGUAGAGAUCUGAAGGAACAUCAGUGGCGAAGGCGACUCGCUGGGCCAUUACUGACGCUGAGGUGCGAAAGCGUGGGUAGCAAACAGGAUUAGAAACCCCAGUAGUCC
Molecule: ribosomal RNA, 274 nt
Filed under: uncultured bacterium
Lineage: Bacteria
Description: partial 16S ribosomal RNA
Rfam family: Bacterial small subunit ribosomal RNA
Source: RNAcentral